RNAcentral lists this ribosomal RNA (433 nucleotides) under uncultured bacterium. RNAcentral describes it as "partial 16S ribosomal RNA". It matches the Rfam family "Bacterial small subunit ribosomal RNA", at positions 29 to 507 of the family's 1533-position model. The record is from RNAcentral.
AGCGAACGCUGGCGGCAGGCCUAACACAUGCAAGUCGAACGAACUCUUCGGAGUUAGUGGCGGACGGGUGAGUAACACGUGGGAACGUGCCUUUUGGUUCGGAAUAACUCAGGGAAACUUGUGCUAAUACCGAAUGUGCCCUUCGGGGGAAAGAUUUAUCGCCAUUAGAGCGGCCCGCGUCUGAUUAGCUAGUUGGUGAGGUAACGGCUCACCAAGGCGACGAUCAGUAGCUGGUCUGAGAGGAUGACCAGCCACACUGGGACUGAGACACGGCCCAGACUCCUACGGGAGGAAGCAGUGGGGAAUCUUGCGCAAUGGGCGAAAGACUGACGCAGCCAUGACGCGUGAAUGAUGAAGGUCUUAGGAUUGUAAAAUUCUUUCAACGGGGACGAUAAUGACGGUACCCGGAGAAGAAGCCCCGGCUAACUUCGUG